Molecule: ribosomal RNA, 253 nt
Filed under: uncultured bacterium
Lineage: Bacteria
Description: partial 16S ribosomal RNA
Rfam family: Bacterial small subunit ribosomal RNA
Source: RNAcentral
UACGGAGGGGGCAAGCGUUGUCCGGAAUCACUGGGCGUAAAGGGCGCGUAGGCGGCUCAUGAAGGCUGUGGUGAAAGUUCGGGGCUCAACCCUGAAUCGGCCGUCGAUACUCCCGGGCUUGAGCACUGUAGAGGCAGAUGGAAUUCCGGGUGUAGCGGUGGAAUGCGUAGAGAUCCGGAAGAACACCGGUGGCGAAGGCGACUUACUGGACACAUAUUGACGCUGAGGUGCGAAAGCGUGGGGAGCAAACAGG